Long non-coding RNA from Pogoniulus pusillus (Red-fronted tinkerbird), 1777 nucleotides. RefSeq lists it as uncharacterized. Lineage: Eukaryota; Metazoa; Chordata; Aves; Piciformes; Lybiidae. The transcript is spliced from 3 exons. The record is from RefSeq and is a predicted model, not a curated record.
CGGCCCGGAGGGGCAGCGAGCGGCGCGGGCACGCCGGGGAGGCAGCUGGGGAGGUUUACGAAGCUGUGCGGGCUCCCGGGUGGGCUGGAAGUAGUGCUGCUGGCUACGGACCGCGGAGUUGGGAGUUCCAUCCACGCCAGAGGAGGGAGUUCUUUCAGGCUGCCCGGGGGAGGUGGAGGUUCCAUCUCCGGAGACACUCAGACCCCGCCUGGAUGGGGUCCUGCGUGGCCUUCCCUAGGCAGGGGGAUUGCACUCGCUGUCCAGAGGUCCCUCCAGCCCCUCCCGUGCUGCUUUGGCAGAGCGGCGCUGUCCUGCCCUGGGCCACUGGAGGUCUUUACGGAGCCCUCUAAUUGCCUGUUUGAAAUGGAAAGUCAACUGCCAAACAGAGGUCUGCAGUGCUGAGCAUGACUCGAGCCCCACUGCCUUCAGACCCAGCCCGGAGGACACCCACACCUUUCCCGUUUGCCACCAGAUGGCAUCACGUUGGGCACUGAUGGGUUCCUCUCCUGAGGCUGCAGCUGCUGCUGACUCUAAAGGACACAAAGACAACUCAAAAGGAGGAAGAGGUUCAAAAUGGAGCAAGAGGCUCAGUGCUCUGCAUCUGAGUAGAGUAGAUCUGUCUGCUGAAAAUGCUGAUACCAGCUCCUGUAUCCUGAUGCUUUUGUGAGUCAGAAAUGAUCCAUUUUCCAGCACUGGCUUUAGAAGAGGCUUCCUGGGACAUGUUUUCAGCAGAAAAUCAUGGCCUGUGUGUAUAAAAAUGCUGCCUGCCCGUGGGGAAUGCAGGUAAGAGCAUUCGUGUGUGCAAAGGAGAUCUGGGUGUUCUGCUAGAGGAAGGAGGAUUACCUUGGUCUCAAAGCAGGACAGUGCACUUAGGACACAGUUCUUUGGUGACUUUCAACUCAAGGCAUAGAUCCCAGCCUCUCAUACACUACAACCACCUGGAUCUUCUCCCAGCCCUGAGUGACAUGGAGAUGUGUGCUGCUUGCCAAAGGUGUCUUCAAACCUUGCUGUGUGACAAUCAGCCUGGAUAAAGGUCCUCAGAUCCAGUGUAUAACCUUUGGUCCUCCAUGCUGGCAUUCAGGAGCGAGGCUGCUCAGUCAGGAAGAGGGACAGGGAUGUUCCAGAGUUCCACUGGAGGAUGUGAGGAUGAUGAAGGGAAUGAAACGUCUGUCUGAGGAGGAAAGGCUGAGAGACUUGGAGCUGUUUAGCCUGGAGAAGAGCAGCCCAAGCAGGGAUUUUAUGAGUUUUCAUCAUUUUCUGAGGGUGGGGGUAAGAAGAAGGGGUCAGGCUCUUGUCAGUGGCGCUCUGUGAUGGCACAAGAGGCAAUGGACACAAACUGGAACCUAAGAAUGAGGAAAAGCUUCUUUAUUGUGAGGGUGCUGGAGUCCUGGAGCAGGCUGCCCAGAGAGGUUGUGAAUUCCCUGCUCUGGAGACUUUCCAAACUGACCUGGAUGUGUUCCUGUGUGCCCUGCCCUGGGUGAUCCUGCUCUGGCAGGGGGCUUGGACUCGAUCUCCCAAGGUCUUUUCCAACCCCUACCAUUCUGUGGUUGUGUGUGUGCUGUCCCUGGUGUGUUUUCAGACCGUCCUACUCCUCAAGCUGCCCUUAAGGCCAGCAUGAUGAAUGCACAUGGGAGGUGGUGUGAUGAGUGGGGAAUGUACGUGCAGGUCCUGCCACGAAGUGACAAAGCCUCUGUGUGUGCAACUCUGCCUCCCACGAGCUAUUUUGAUAAUGUAGCCUGUAGGUGUCCAAGUAAAAGAUACUAAGUGCUGUGCUUCA